Molecule: ribosomal RNA, 253 nt
Filed under: uncultured bacterium
Lineage: Bacteria
Description: partial 16S ribosomal RNA
Rfam family: Bacterial small subunit ribosomal RNA
Source: RNAcentral
UACAGAGGGUGCGAGCGUUAAUCGGAAUUACUGGGCGUAAAGCGCACGUAGGUGGCGACGUAAGUCGGGUGUGAAAGCCCCGGGCUCAACCUGGGAAUUGCAUUCGAGACUGCAUUGCUGGAGUACGGAAGAGGAAGGCGGAAUUCCCGGUGUAGCGGUGAAAUGCGUAGAUAUGCGGAGGAACACCGAUGGCGAAGGCAAUCCCCUGGGCCUGCACUGACGCUCAUGCACGAAAGCGUGGGGAGCAAACAGG